RNAcentral lists this ribosomal RNA (465 nucleotides) under Vreelandella stevensii. RNAcentral describes it as "partial 16S ribosomal RNA". It matches the Rfam family "Bacterial small subunit ribosomal RNA", at positions 338 to 795 of the family's 1533-position model. The record is from RNAcentral. Lineage: Bacteria; Pseudomonadati; Pseudomonadota; Gammaproteobacteria; Oceanospirillales; Halomonadaceae.
CCUACGGGCGGCAGCAGUGGGGAAUAUUGGACAAUGGGCGAAAGCCUGAUCCAGCCAUGCCGCGUGUGUGAAGAAGGCCUUCGGGUUGUAAAGCACUUUCAGUGGGGAAGAAAGCCUUGGGGCUAAUACCCUCGAGGAAGGACAUCACCCACAGAAGAAGCACCGGCUAACUCCGUGCCAGCAGCCGCGGUAAUACGGAGGGUGCGAGCGUUAAUCGGAAUUACUGGGCGUAAAGCGCGCGUAGGCGGUCUGAUAAGCCGGUUGUGAAAGCCCCGGGCUCAACCUGGGAACGGCAUCCGGAACUGUCAGGCUAGAGUGCAGGAGAGGAAGGUAGAAUUCCCGGUGUAGCGGUGAAAUGUGUAGAGAUCGGGAGGAAUACCAGUGGCGAAGGCGGUCUUCUGGACUGACACUGACGCUGAGGUGCGAAAGCGUGGGUAGCAAACAGGAUUAGAUACCCUAGUAGUC